GGCUUCAGCAGAAUGUGUGUGUGCACGCAAUCACCAGAACUAGGAGCAUGUGUGUGUAAGUGGUGCAUGACUGGAUCUUGUAGUCCAUGAAACUGCAGAUUUGUAGUCCUUUGGCGAUCCGUAGCCUCUAGAUCGCUGGUGAUCAUAAUUAUUAUAUUAUAUUAUAUUAUAUUAUAUUAUAUUAUAUUAUAUUAUAUUAUAUUAUAUUAUAUUAUAUUAUAUUAUAUUAUAUUAUAUUAUAUUAUAUUAUAUUAUAUUAUAUGAAUAGUGUACACAAUAAACAAAUUAUUUGUUAAUUUAAAAUAUUAUUAUUAUUAUUAUUAUUAUUAUUAUUAUUAUUAUUAUUAUUGUUAUUAUUAUUAUUAUUUGUUUAUUAUUUAUUUAUUU
This is a non-coding RNA of Danio rerio (zebrafish), 387 nucleotides long. The record is from Ensembl. NCBI's taxonomy places the organism in Eukaryota, Metazoa, Chordata, Actinopteri, Cypriniformes, Danionidae.